RNAcentral lists this ribosomal RNA (301 nucleotides) under uncultured bacterium. RNAcentral describes it as "partial 16S ribosomal RNA". It matches the Rfam family "Bacterial small subunit ribosomal RNA", at positions 509 to 807 of the family's 1533-position model. The record is from RNAcentral.
CAGUAGCCACGGGAAUACGAAGGGGGCUAGCGUUGUUCGGAAUUACUGGGCGUAAAGCGCACGUAGGCGGAUCGAUCAGUCAGGGGCGAAAUCCCAGGGCUCAACCCUGGAACUGCCUUUGAUACUGUCGAUCUGGAGUAUGGAAGAGGUGAGUGGAAUUCCGAGUGUAGAGGUGAAAUUCGUAGAUAUUCGGAGGAACACCAGUGGCGAAGGCGGCUCACUGGUCCAUUACUGACGCUGAGGUGCGAAAGCGUGGGGAGCAAACAGGAUUAGAGACCCCCGUAGUCCCUGUCUCUUAUAC